This 253-nucleotide ribosomal RNA is filed under the name uncultured bacterium. Its description in RNAcentral is "partial 16S ribosomal RNA". It matches the Rfam family "Bacterial small subunit ribosomal RNA", at positions 524 to 776 of the family's 1533-position model. The record is from RNAcentral.
GACAGAGGGUGCAAACGUUGUUCGGAAUUACUGGGCGUAAAGCGCGUGUAGGCGGCUAAGUAAGUCGGGCGUGAAAUCCCACGGCUCAACCGUGGAAGUGCACUCGAAACUGCGUAGCUAGAGUCCUGGAGAGGAAGGUGGAAUGCUUGGUGUAGAGGUGAAAUUCGUAGAUAUCAAGCGGAACACCGGUGGCGAGGGCGGCCUUCUGGACAGCGACUGACGCUGAGACGCGAAAGCGUGGGGAGCAAACAGG